Molecule: long non-coding RNA, 2738 nt
Organism: Mus musculus (house mouse)
Lineage: Eukaryota; Metazoa; Chordata; Mammalia; Rodentia; Muridae
Product: predicted gene, 53611
Exons: 2
Source: RefSeq, a predicted model, not a curated record
GAAAGAAGGGCAUUUCUGUAUAAGUGCAGUUUGGGGGAGUUUGGACUAGCCACUUUCGCUUGCGACACCACCAAUAGCAAUCCUCUCCUGCUCCGGCAACCCUUGCCUGCUGUCCAGGAUCGGAGUAAAAGUUCGACAAAGUGAGAUUAUUGGUGGAGGGAAUCUGAAGAACUGGGGGGCAGGUGCGGUGCAGGCUAUGGAGGAUUCUGCUAUUCCCACCGAACCUCUCAUGAAAGAGGUGUCGCCUAGCCCAAGUUAACAGAGUGAAGAGCAGUUUUCUUCCACGUACGGUAGCACCCCUAGAACCCCAAGAACCGCGUAAAAAGCUGGGAGUGGUGGUACAUGCUCUCAGGGCUGGAAGGCAGGGACAAAGGGGUCCUGGGUGUUUGAUGGCCAGCUAGUUUAGCCUAACACACACAUACACACACACACACCCCAUGGCAUCUUUUAUUGAAAAAGAAUUUAAGGCCCAGUGAGAUGGUUUAAUAUGUAAUAUAUCAUGUGUGCCUGGCUGACAAUUUGAGUUUAAUUCCUUAGAACCCGUGAAAGGUAGAAAGAACCAACUCCAGAGGUUACCCUCUGAUCUCCACAUGUACACCUCUCUCUUUCUUUCCCUCCUUCCCUCCCUCCCUCCCUUCCUCUCUUCCCCCUUCCCUCAUAUACAGUCACAUACCAGAUCACACAUACACAAAUAAUAAUAAUUUUGGUCUAUAAGGUCACUACUGCAUAUUUCCAGUGAAGUGUAUUAAUUCUUUGGUUAUUUCAGUUGUCAUUAUCCACUGUGAAUGAAUAGAGGCCCCUUGAGUCUAUAAAAAGCUGGAGACCCCAAUCUGGCCUUAAGAGGGGCACACAGCUGAAAGGUGGGGUGCUCAGCUGGCUUCUCUAACUGAGCUCUCAAAAUCUUCAGGAAUGCUACCUGCCAGAUUCCAGUGCUGUUUCAGGCUGCAGGGUAGGAAGGGCGACCAGGUAUGCAGACUCUUGCCAGCCAAUGUAGUUAUUUUAUUAGGCAAAUCAGUGUCUACAGAUUCCAGUCUAAACCCACUGGUCCCGACCCAGUUUGGUAGAAACGUUUUCAAAGGUAAAGUGGAAUGCAUUAGCAGCCACUAAAUCUCAUAAUUAUAGUGAUUUUGGCUGAUAAUCCCUUUCCUUCUGCAUCUGUCUCAAACAUUAACACAAAGAAUAUCUUUUAACAGAGGUCAGCCCUGGUGGGAGUUACUUAUAAAACCAUUAGAUACUCUGUACCAAGAGGGAUGCUGAAGGCCCUUCCUCAGACAAGAAAUGUCUUGGCAAAAACAUGCAGGGCGUAAAUUUUACAGAAUCAUAAAAUGGAAGGACUGAAUUUAGGAGCUGGUUGAAAGAAUGCUGAGCAAAAAGAGUUGUAAGCUGGCCCUGCUGGCCAAGGCCUGUAUUCUCAGCUAUGUUGAAGGGUGAGGCAGGUCCCGGGCUUGCCUGGGCUCUAGCGUAGUUCAAGGUCAGCCUGGGUAACUUAGUGAGACCUUGUCUCAAAAUACAAGGUGAAAAGAGGGUUGGGAUACGGCCCAGCACUGGAGUACUUGUCUAGCUUGUGAGGCCUCAGUGCUAAUACUGACUCUCUGUAGGCUGUAGAAUGUGUAGUCUGUGGUGGGACAGUCUUUGUCUCCUGAUCCUGCUUCUCUGCUUCUUUCUCCUAUUUCUCUCCCUCUUCUGUCCUUCCUUAGUAGGAAGUUUCGUGGUUACCACCUUCUGGGUCCCUGGGUCCUUCGUCCAGAACCAGGUAUUAGUGCUUCUCAGCCUACGAAUGGGAACAAGGAGCAGAACGCACACCUAUCCGGAAGCAGCAAACCCUUCCGCUCCUCGCGCAAGUCUGGGGCAUUGCUCUUCAUCUCCUGAGGCCUCAGUUUCCAAAGGCUGCAGCUGCAGGCAGCCUGUGUUGCUUCAUUUCUCCAGAAGCCAGAAGUGCAGGUUCCCACGGGGCCCGGUCUGGCAUCAGCGCCUCUAGCCUUUACCCAUAAAUGUAUUCCUGGUCGCCACAGUCUGGUUCUUCCGCGGAGUGGAGUGGAAUGGCUUCACUACCGCUCACCCUGCUGCUAUCACCACACCCGGAGCAAGCUUGCUUUUUCUUCCCUUGGCCUUCCUCUUUGACAUGCUAUGUAUUCCUGUGGCACGUUUGGGAGCUGAGGGAGUGAAAAGUCACCAUACCACAGGCAGCGUGCGUGGGCUGUCCCUGCUACCUGCUCCAGUGAGGUCUGUUGAGGGAGCCUGGCUGAGUAGGGGCACAGGUGACCCCAGGUCUACAGAGCACAACCUUUUGGAAAUAUGUCGGGUCUACGCCAAAGCCUCAUGCACACUGACUGAAACGGAGUGAUUUUGCCCUUCAUAUAUCAGAAAGUUUAAGCUAGACACCAGUGUGAUUCUGGCCAUUCUUUUUACAGGUGCCGUGGACACUCAUGCCACAGGAAUGAUCGCCGAGCUUCAAGUCACUUCCACCGUGUAGUAAAGAGUUUCAAUAACCUGAAGCACGCCAGGGACACAAAAAUUUUAUCAAGUCCAUUACAUAGUCUAAGUUUCUAGACAGAAGCCUCUCUGUGUGAAUAAUACACACCCAGGGCCAGACAGGCACUGUAUCGAAGUUUUCUUUGGAUAUGAUGACAUUUUUAUUUGAAUUGAGCCAAGCUUAGGAAAUCACUGUGGGAGAUCUGGAUGCCUGAUAAAAGCUUUCAGAUGAUGGUACCAAUUUUCAAUAAACAUCAUAAAAAUUU